GGUUAAGCGACUAAGCGUACACGGUGGAUGCCCUGGCAGUCAGAGGCGAUGAAGGACGUGCUAAUCUGCGAAAAGCGUCGGUAAGGUGAUAUGAACCGUUAUAACCGGCGAUGUCCGAAUGGGGAAACCCAGUGCAAUUCGUUGCACUAUCGUUAACUGAAUACAUAGGUUAACGAGGCGAACCGGGGGAACUGAAACAUCUAAGUACCCCGAGGAAAAGAAAUCAACCGAGAUUCCCCCAGUAGCGGCGAGCGAACGGGGAGCAGCCCAGAGUCUGAAUCAGCUUGUGUGUUAGUGGAACGGUCUGGAAAGUCCGACGGUACAGGGUGAUAGUCCCGUACACCAAAAUGCACAGGUUGUGAACUCGAAGAGUAGGGCGGGACACGUGGUAUCCUGUCUGAAUAUGGGGGGACCAUCCUCCAAGGCUAAAUACUCCUGACUGACCGAUAGUGAACCAGUACCGUGAGGGAAAGGCGAAAAGAACCCCGGCGAGGGGAGUGAAAAAGAACCUGAAACCGUGUACGUACAAGCAGUGGGAGCACCUUCGGGUGUGACUGCGUACCUUUUGUAUAAUGGGUCAGCGACUUAUAUUCUGUAGCAAGGUUAACCGUAUAGGGGAGCCGCAGGGAAACCGAGUCUUAACUGGGCGUUAAGUUGCAGGGUAUAGACCCGAAACCCGGUGAUCUAGCCAUGGGCAGGUUGAAGGUUGGGUAACACUAACUGGAGGACCGAACCGACUAAUGUUGAAAAAUUAGCGGAUGACUUGUGGCUGGGGGUGAAAGGCCAAUCAAACCGGGAGAUAGCUGGUUCUCCCCGAAAGCUAUUUAGGUAGCGCCUCGUGAACUCAUCUUCGGGGGUAGAGCACUGUUUCGGCUAGGGGGUCAUCCCGACUUACCAACCCGAUGCAAACUACGAAUACCGAAGAAUGUUAUCACGGGAGACACACGGCGGGUGCUAACGUCCGUCGUGAAGAGGGAAACAACCCAGACCGCCAGCUAAGGUCCCAAAGUCAUGGUUAAGUGGGAAACGAUGUGGGAAGGCACAGACAGCCAGGAUGUUGGCUUAGAAGCAGCCAUCAUUUAAAGAAAGCGUAAUAGCUCACUGGUCGAGUCGGCCUGCGCGGAAGAUGUAACGGGGCUAAACCAUGCACCGAAGCUGCGGCAGCGACACUAUGUGUUGUUGGGUAGGGGAGCGUUCUGUAAGCCUGCGAAGGUGUGCUGUGAGGCAUGCUGGAGGUAUCAGAAGUGCGAAUGCUGACAUAAGUAACGAUAAAGCGGGUGAAAAGCCCGCUCGCCGGAAGACCAAGGGUUCCUGUCCAACGUUAAUCGGGGCAGGGUGAGUCGACCCCUAAGGCGAGGCCGAAAGGCGUAGUCGAUGGGAAACAGGUUAAUAUUCCUGUACUUGGUGUUACUGCGAAGGGGGGACGGAGAAGGCUAUGUUAGCCGGGCGACGGUUGUCCCGGUUUAAGCAUGUAGGCUGGUUAUCCAGGCAAAUCCGGAUAAUCAAGGCUGAGGUGUGAUGACGAGGCACUACGGUGCUGAAGUAACAAAUGCCCUGCUUCCAGGAAAAGCCUCUAAGCAUCAGGUAACAUCAAAUCGUACCCCAAACCGACACAGGUGGUCAGGUAGAGAAUACCAAGGCGCUUGAGAGAACUCGGGUGAAGGAACUAGGCAAAAUGGUGCCGUAACUUCGGGAGAAGGCACGCUGGUGUGUAGGUGAAGCCCCUGCGGGUGGAGCUGAGACCAGUCGAAGAUACCAGCUGGCUGCAACUGUUUAUUAAAAACACAGCACUGUGCAAACACGAAAGUGGACGUAUACGGUGUGACGCCUGCCCGGUGCCGGAAGGUUAAUUGAUGGGGUUAUCCGUAAGGAGAAGCUCUUGAUCGAAGCCCCGGUAAACGGCGGCCGUAACUAUAACGGUCCUAAGGUAGCGAAAUUCCUUGUCGGGUAAGUUCCGACCUGCACGAAUGGCGUAAUGAUGGCCAGGCUGUCUCCACCCGAGACUCAGUGAAAUUGAACUCGCUGUGAAGAUGCAGUGUACCCGCGGCAAGACGGAAAGACCCCGUGAACCUUUACUAUAGCUUGACACUGAACAUUGAGCCUUGAUGUGUAGGAUAGGUGGGAGGCUUUGAAGCGUGGACGCCAGUCUGCGUGGAGCCAACCUUGAAAUACCACCCUUUAAUGUUUGAUGUUCUAACGUUGGCCCCUUACCGGGGUUGCGGACAGUGUCUGGUGGGUAGUUUGACUGGGGCGGUCUCCUCCCAAAGCGUAACGGAGGAGCACGAAGGUUAGCUAAUCCUGGUCGGACAUCAGGAGGUUAGUGCAAUGGCAUAAGCUAGCUUGACUGCGAGCGUGACGGCGCGAGCAGGUGCGAAAGCAGGUCAUAGUGAUCCGGUGGUUCUGAAUGGAAGGGCCAUCGCUCAACGGAUAAAAGGUACUCCGGGGAUAACAGGCUGAUACCGCCCAAGAGUUCAUAUCGACGGCGGUGUUUGGCACCUCGAUGUCGGCUCAUCACAUCCUGGGGCUGAAGUAGGUCCCAAGGGUAUGGCUGUUCGCCAUUUAAAGUGGUACGCGAGCUGGGUUUAGAACGUCGUGAGACAGUUCGGUCCCUAUCUGCCGUGGGCGCUGGAGAAUUGAGGGGGGCUGCUCCUAGUACGAGAGGACCGGAGUGGACGCAUCACUGGUGUUCGGGUUGUCAUGCCAAUGGCACUGCCCGGUAGCUAAAUGCGGAAGAGAUAAGUGCUGAAAGCAUCUAAGCACGAAACUUGCCCCGAGAUGAGUUCUCCCUGAGACUUUAAGUCUCCUGAAGGAACGUUGAAGACGACGACGUUGAUAGGCCGGGUGUGUAAGCGCAGCGAUGCGUUGAGCUAACCGGUACUAAUGAACCGUGAGGCUUAACCUU
RNAcentral lists this ribosomal RNA (2902 nucleotides) under Klebsiella pneumoniae. Its description in RNAcentral is "23S ribosomal RNA". It matches the Rfam family "Bacterial large subunit ribosomal RNA". The record is from RNAcentral. Lineage: Bacteria; Pseudomonadati; Pseudomonadota; Gammaproteobacteria; Enterobacterales; Enterobacteriaceae.